This 429-nucleotide ribosomal RNA is filed under the name Pseudomonadota bacterium. Its description in RNAcentral is "Proteobacteria bacterium partial 16S ribosomal RNA". It matches the Rfam family "Bacterial small subunit ribosomal RNA", at positions 355 to 776 of the family's 1533-position model. The record is from RNAcentral. Lineage: Bacteria; Pseudomonadati; Pseudomonadota.
UGGGGAAUAUUGGACAAUGGGCGAAAGCCUGAUCCAGCCAUGCCGCGUGUGUGAAGAAGGUCUUCGGAUUGUAAAGCACUUUAAGUUGGGAGGAAGGGCAGUAAGCGAAUACCUUGCUGUUUUGACGUUACCGACAGAAUAAGCACCGGCUAACUCUGUGCCAGCAGCCGCGGUAAUACAGAGGGUGCAAGCGUUAAUCGGAAUUACUGGGCGUAAAGCGCGCGUAGGUGGUUCGUUAAGUUGAAUGUGAAAGCCCCGGGCUCAACCUGGGAACUGCAUCCAAAACUGGCGAGCUAGAGUAGGGCAGAGGGUAGUGGAAUUUCCUGUGUAGCGGUGAAAUGCGUAGAUAUAGGAAGGAAAACCAGUGGCGAAGGCGACCACCUGGGCUCAUACUGACACUGAGGUGCGAAAGCGUGGGGAGCAAACAGU